Molecule: ribosomal RNA, 253 nt
Filed under: uncultured bacterium
Lineage: Bacteria
Description: partial 16S ribosomal RNA
Rfam family: Bacterial small subunit ribosomal RNA
Source: RNAcentral
UACGUAGGGGGCAAGCGUUGUCCGGAAUCAUUGGGCGUAAAGAGCGCGUAGGCGGCAUGACAAGUCACUUGUGAAAUCUCCGGGCUUAACUCGGAACGGCCAAGUGAUACUGUCAAGCUAGAGUGCAGAAAGGGCAAUCGGAAUUCUUGGUGUAGCGGUGAAAUGCGUAGAUAUCAAGAGGAACACCUGAGGCGAAGGCGGGUUGCUAGGCUGACACUGACGCUGAAGCGCGAAAGCCAGGGGAGCAAACGGG